This 359-nucleotide long non-coding RNA is filed under the name Fukomys damarensis (Damara mole-rat). Its description in RNAcentral is "lncRNA (ENSFDAG00000026119.1)". Lineage: Eukaryota; Metazoa; Chordata; Mammalia; Rodentia; Bathyergidae. The record is from RNAcentral.
UGGAGUAGUCACUGCUGGUUGUGUCUUAGUGUUGUCACUAAUUCAUGUGACUGAAAUCUCAGCUUCCACUUUUUUUUUUUUUUUCGGUACCUGGGAUCAAACUCGGGUCCUUGCGCUUGCAAGGCAGGUGGCAGAACCACUGAGCUAAAUCCCUGGCCCCUCAGCUUCCACUUUUUUUUUUUUUAGGUCAAACCCUUUAUAGAUUUGGUAUUGAUGAAAUGAUAAGACUAAGAAGAUGCUCAGUAAAGACUAAUUUCUCUCCUCGCUUCCUUGACAGGAUUUGUUCAACCUGUCCACAUCAAUCUGAAAUUACCAGGCACCAGGACUGCAUGCUGUGUGGCUCCGUUUUGUUGAAGUGA